Long non-coding RNA from Melanotaenia boesemani (Boeseman's rainbowfish), 899 nucleotides. RefSeq lists it as uncharacterized. Lineage: Eukaryota; Metazoa; Chordata; Actinopteri; Atheriniformes; Melanotaeniidae. The record is from RefSeq and is a predicted model, not a curated record. The transcript is spliced from 3 exons.
AUCUUGGAUAAGUGCGCGCUCGCGUUUUCUUUAAUAGACCCUCGCGGUCUAUCACAGAAUCACUGAUCUACCAUGGCAACGAGCGGCGUACUUCUCCGUCGGAGCAGGAAAUCCUAGAAGCCUACGAAGUAGCCAAGGACCUAAUAAAAACACCGCCAGUUAUAAAACAAAGACAACGCGUAGCAACGUGUUACAGACCACCUGAAUACAUGGUCUGCAAAGCUCAGGAUGUACAGCAGGCAUAUAAUAUUACCCAUGCCAGGUAAAGGGCAUGGAUAGAAAUGACCUUUGGCCUCUUGAAGGCACACUUUCAGUGUCUUCAGCACUGAAGGAUCAACCCAGGCAGGACAUGGGACGUCACGGCGGUGUGUGCUGUCCUCCACAAUGUGGCCAUUAGUUAAUAUGCAUGCUUUUAAUUUAACUUAAAUAUGACCUGCAGUGGCCGAAGAAUUAGUGUCAUUUUGAAUAAAUUUGGCCUGUUAUGAUGUGCACGCUGUGACCUGCAGGGAGGCGACUGCAUCCAUUCAUAUAUGUCUGUUAAUUAGUUGUCGGGAGGUAUUAUGGUUAGUUUUCAUACAAACCUUUGUGAAUGAAUGUGUUGUAUAAAUUGCUCCAAUUCUGUGCAUUCCAUCAUGUGUGUGUUAGUCCCAAACACCAAUGUAUGUUAUCUUAGGUGUCGUGGUUCAAAACUUUUAGGAAUCACCAUUGUAGCGCUAUGUGUAGCUUCAGUUUUGAACGGAGCUAAUUGUUUAUUUGCUUUAUCCUUAUUUAAUAAAGGAACACCUUGUUACUCUUUGUGUAUUUAUAUGGGAUGUGUGUUUUUCAUAUUGUCUAUGGGAAAGUGUAAAUGAACUAAGGAUUGUAAAAUCAUUUAUCUAAAAUGAUUAAAUAAUGACUGG